Molecule: ribosomal RNA, 1072 nt
Filed under: uncultured bacterium
Lineage: Bacteria
Description: bacterial SSU rRNA
Rfam family: Bacterial small subunit ribosomal RNA
Source: RNAcentral
AACGAACGCUGGCGGCGUGUUUAAGACAUGCAAGUCGCACGGGACUAGUUGAGUAGUAAUACAAGGCUAGUUUAGUGGCGCACGGGUGAGUAACAUGUGAAUUACAUGCCCUUCAGUGGGGAAUAGCCCAGGGAAACUUGGAUUAAUACCCCAUGGUAUCGCAAGAUUAAAGGUGGCCAGUAGUAAUAUUGGCUGCCGCUGAAGGAUUGGUUCGCACCCUAUCAGCUUGUUGGUGAGGUAAUGGCUCACCAAGGCUACGACGGGUACCUGGUCUGAGAGGACGAUCAGGCACACUGGAACUGAGACACGGUCCAGACACCUACGGGUGGCAGCAGUCGAGAAUAAUUCACAAUGGGGGCAACCCUGAUGGUGCAACGCCGCGUGGAGGAUGACGGUCUUCGGAUUGUAAACUCCUGUCAUCUGGGAGUAAGGCAUGGUCGUUAAUAGCGAACAUGAUUGAUAGUACCAGAAGAGGAAGGGACGGCUAACUUCGUGCCAGCAGCCGCGGUAAUACGAAGGUCCCAAGCGUUGUUCGGAAUCACUGGGCGUAAAGGGAGCGUAGGCGGCGUGGUAAGUCAGAUGUGAAAUCCCGAGGCUCAACCUCGGAACUGCAUCCGAUACUGCCAUGCUAGAGGAUUGGAGAGGUAGCUGGAAUUCUUGGUGUAGCAGUGAAAUGCGUAGAGAUCAAGAGGAACACUCGUGGCGAAAGCGAGCUACUGGACAAUUCCUGACGCUGAGGCUCGAAGGCUAGGGUAGCGAAAGGGAUUAGAUACCCCUGUAGUCCUAGCAGUAAACGGUGCACGCUUGGUGUGAGGGGAAUCGACCCCCCUUGUGCCGGAGCUAACGCGUUAAGCGUGCCGCCUGGGAAGUACGGUCGCAAGACUAAAACUCAAAGAAAUUGACGGGGACCCGCACAAGCGGUGGAGUAUGUGGCUUAAUUCGAUGCAACGCGAAGAACCUUACCAAGGCUUGACAUGCAUCUCUAAACACGUGAAAGCGUGUGACCCUUCGGGAAUUUGCACAGGUGCUGCAUGGCCGUCGUCAGCUCGUGUCGUGAGAUGUUGGGUUAAGU